UAUCAUCUAAUUGGGUGGCGAACACGGAAGGUGAGAAAAAUAUCUGGUCUUCUUGGUUUUCUGCUGUUGUGGUUUUCUGGAUUCCUUCCAGGGGAGGUGUUUCUGCAACAUUUGUACCUGAAGUAAUCAAAAGGUAAGAGGGACGGAAAGAGAGAAGGCUUGAGAAUAUCAGAAAACUUGAGAAAGGAGGCAUUCGGUAGCUAAAUUUCGCAAGCAAGACAAGGUGCAAAGGAGAGGCAAAAAGAAAACGGAAAAAAGGCAAAAGGUUGAUAUGUUGGAGAUUUAAAUCUGAUGUGUUUGGUGUAUUGAUAGUUAAAUAACAGAGGGUGAAGGGUGUGAAGAUGUUGUGGCAUUUUCUUUUUCUCCUUUGCAGUUAGCUUUCUACUGUUACGGGACUGAAUCAAAAGUUAAAGUUAUUUGGAUACGCCUGAGUAAUUGUAAUAAUAAGAUGCUUAACCGAUAAUUAACCAGUUGGGUUUGUUUUGUUUUGUUUUGUUCUAAUAACAUUGCGGUGAUAGAACUUUAGGUGCAAGCUGCCCAAGAAGAUGAUGAGGAUUCCUUGUCUUGUUUUAUAAAAAAACAAAAAGUUGAGAAUUUUGCCUUAUUCAGCAUAAACCUGGUAAAAGAUUGUUGGAUAUUUGAAAUCGAAUCUACCUUUCAUUUUAGUUGUG
Molecule: non-coding RNA, 671 nt
Organism: Jatropha curcas
Lineage: Eukaryota; Viridiplantae; Streptophyta; Magnoliopsida; Malpighiales; Euphorbiaceae
Source: RefSeq, a predicted model, not a curated record